Long non-coding RNA from Vicia villosa (hairy vetch), 1869 nucleotides. RefSeq lists it as uncharacterized. The record is from RefSeq and is a predicted model, not a curated record. The transcript has 3 exons. Lineage: Eukaryota; Viridiplantae; Streptophyta; Magnoliopsida; Fabales; Fabaceae.
AAACCCACAAAGGAAAAAGAAAUGGAUAAUAUGGUCAUCGCAACCAAAUUAGGGUUCGGGAGUUGGUUAAGCAAGGGGAAGGUAUUAGCACCUCUCACCUCCAUCAUACUCGAUGGGAUCCAUUUAGUUAGUUUCGUGUUUGAGUGUUAGCGUAAUGUUUGCAUUCUUUUUCUUAUUAAUCGAGAAAAGAUAAAAGAAAAGGUUUUUAGGGUUUUUAUUAUGAAGAAAAAAGAAAAUAUUUUUUAUUAUUAUGCUCGCCAAGACGUUUGUGUCUUGUGCCUACGUAUUCCCUCGUGCAAUGGAAAAGUCAGAGCAAUCGUAGUUCGGGCGAAGAACCACGAAAGUUUGUUGGUAGAUUUUAGCGAGAGGUACUCGACCGCUUUCAAAAUGGAGACAAUACUACGCGCACAUGGAUAAGAUAUCACUACAAGAAUGGAUGACUAAAUCAAGAGUAAGACGAGAUUUUGGCCAUCAUCGCAUUCGAGUGGAAGAUAUUCGAUCUUCACAUGUGGAAGUAUGUUCGCAUAUGAACUUGACAAAGUGUCUCGUUUAUGAAAAGAGGUUUUAAUAUAAAGAGGCCAUAAGGCAAAAAGGUUUGAAUGAAAUUGGAGUUAUUAUUAGAAGGGAUGUUUAGUGAACAUUUUGAGCAUAGGUGUGCACCUAGCGCGUUGUUCACCCAAGAUAUUCAAAAGGAUGCGAGUCCAAUUGUCACUUGUUAUCCAAGUUAGUAAAAGAGGAUAUUGACGGACUUUUAGUAAAGGAUUGAGCAUAGGUGUUCACCUAGCGCGUCUUUACCCAAGGUAUUCAACAGGAGCGAGUCCCAUUGUUAUUUGUUGUCCUUAUUUAAUAAAAGAAGAUGUUUGCAGACGUUUAGCAAAGGAUUGAGCAUAGGUGUUCACCUAGCGCGUCUUUACCCAAGAAUCGAGGUGAAAAUGGUGGAGAGAGUGAAGAUGAUGAAGUGGUGGAGAAUGAAUCGAGAAAUCAAAAAUGGUGAAGCCCCCUGAAGCUGAGUGAAGGUCCAGUUAUAUAGAGUUUCUAGGUUUGGCUUAUUGCUACAAAUAUGCUUGACUCUGCCGCGAAUUAUGAAGUUGCAUGACAAACUGUUUGUGAUGGAGCUCAACUGUUUUCUUCUUUUUCUUUUUUUUUUGAAUUAGCCAUGGUUACUGUGUUGGAACUGAUUUGGGUAUGAAUGUAUGUGUAGUAUCUUGCUGUUUGUAGGUGAUGCUGUUUGUUUAUAAGUUAUGCUAUUUGUAGGUUAUUUUUGGUUAUGCUGUGUGUAGGAUUUUGUUUGCAUUUGAAUAUGUGGCAGCAAGAUUAGAGAUUGCAUAUGAAAGUGUAUGGACUGGCUGAAACUGAUUUUGUCUAUUUUUUGCACAGGGAUGGUUUGGUUGACUGCUGUUGGUUUCCGUUGAUUUAAAAUAUGCAGGGACUGUUAUGAGCGACGCAAGUUAAACCAUGGAGCUAUCGGGAUUUAUUGUACUUGGCAUCAGCCUUGCAGCUUGAGUUGUAAUUGAGGUUUUGACUCGCUGGUCGGAGAAAUUGGGCAUAAUAACCAGCUAGGUUCAAUCGUGAAUGGACAAUAAAGCUUAAAAACCAAGAAAUAUCAUGUGCCUGAACUCAGAAUCGUCAAACGGCGUGGUUUAGCAUUGUAUUUACUUUGUGAUGAAGAAAAUUGGAUGUUGUAUUGUAUUCGAGUUUGUUAUGAGUGAUGAUCAUUAGCUAUGGAUGACUGGGUUCAGAAUUAUGUAUGAUGGGUGACUGGGUUUAGGAUUAUAUAUGUUGUAUGAUGUUGAUUCUGGUAUGGUAAAUGUGUAUGUAGGAGAAUUUGAAUUGAAAGAUUUUGGUGUAUACAUGGAGGUGAACAUGUGU